Molecule: ribosomal RNA, 461 nt
Filed under: uncultured bacterium
Lineage: Bacteria
Description: bacterial SSU rRNA
Rfam family: Bacterial small subunit ribosomal RNA
Source: RNAcentral
UAGUCCACGCCGUAAACGAUGAUCACCCGCUGUCUGCGAUACACAGUAGGCGGCUGAGCGAAAGCAUUAAGUGAUCCACCUGGGGAGUACGAUCGCAAGGUUGAAACUCAAAGGAAUUGACGGGGGCCCGCACAAGCGGAGGAACAUGUGGUUUAAUUCGAUGAUACGCGAGGAACCUUACCUGGGCUUAAAUGUAGGUUGCAUAAAUUAGAGAUAGUUUUUCCCUUCGGGGCCACCUACAAGGUGCUGCAUGGUUGUCGUCAGCUCGUGCCGUGAGGUGUCGGGUUAAGUCCCAUAACGAGCGCAACCCCUAUCGUUAGUUGCCAGCGGGUAAUGCCGGGGACUCUAGCGAGACUGCCACCGUAAGGUGAGAGGAAGGUGGGGAUGACGUCAAAUCAGCACGGCCCUUAUGUCCAGGGGCUACACACGUGUUACAAUGGGCAGGGUACAAAGGGGCAGGC